This 253-nucleotide ribosomal RNA is filed under the name uncultured bacterium. RNAcentral's name for it is "partial 16S ribosomal RNA". It matches the Rfam family "Bacterial small subunit ribosomal RNA", at positions 524 to 776 of the family's 1533-position model. The record is from RNAcentral.
UACGUAGGUGGCAAGCGUUGUCCGGCUUUACUGGGCGUAAAGAGCGCGCAGGCGGUCGUUCAAGUCGCGUGUGAAAGCCCCCGGCUCAACUGGGGAGGGUCACGCGAUACUGAUCGACUCGAAGGCAGGAGAGGGAAGUGGAAUUCCCGGUGUAGUGGUGAAAUGCGUAGAUAUCGGGAGGAACACCAGUGGCGAAGGCGACGUCCUGGCCUGUUCUUGACGCUGAGGCGCGAAAGCUAGGGGAGCGAACAGG